RNAcentral lists this ribosomal RNA (774 nucleotides) under uncultured Neocallimastigales. RNAcentral's name for it is "partial large subunit ribosomal RNA". It matches the Rfam family "Eukaryotic large subunit ribosomal RNA", at positions 22 to 635 of the family's 3401-position model. The record is from RNAcentral. Lineage: Eukaryota; Fungi; Neocallimastigomycota; Neocallimastigomycetes; Neocallimastigales.
UACACGCUGUGACUAGCAUAUCAAUAAGCGGAGGAAAAGAAACUAACAAGGAUUCCCUUAGUAACGGCGAGUGAAGCGGGAAGAGCUCAAAUUUGAAAUCUUCAAGGUUUUACCUUGACGAAUUGUAGUUUAAAGAAGUGUUUUCCUGCUGAAGUUUUGGUAAAAGUUCUUUGGAAUAGGACAUCAUAGAGGGUGAGAAUCCCGUAUUUGACCAUUAUUUUCAGCUUUGUGAUACACUUUCAAAGAGUCGGAUUGUUUGGGAAUGCAGUCCAAAAUGGGUGGUAAAUUUCAUCUAAAGCUAAAUAUUGGCGAGAGACCGAUAGCGAACAAGUACCGUGAGGGAAAGAUGAAAAGAACUUUGAAAAGAGAGUUAAACAGUACGUGAAAUUGUCAAAAGGGAAGCGUUUGACACCAGUGCUGUUUUCUCGAAAAUCAAUUAAAAAUGGCUCGAUUUUGUAUUGUUGAGACCUUAAAAGCUCACUGUACAUUUUUCGUGUCUUUUUUAAUGCACUUUUCGUUUAACAAGUCAACAUCAGUUUCUUUUGUUGUAAAAGGGUCAUUGGAAGGUGGCUUUCUUUUCGGAGAAAGUGUUUAUAGCCUUUGGCCUCUGCAAUCGGAGAGACUGAGGUCUGCAGCGUAGACUCUUCGGGGUUAGAUACAUUUGUGCUAAGUUAUAGCUUUUUAUAGACAACUUGUUGACUAUAAUCAGUCUUGUAGCUUACUCGCUUAUGCUAUUUUACCUACGCUUAGGAUGUUGAUCUACAGAGCGAGAGU